Vidua macroura (Pin-tailed whydah) is the source of this 3580-nucleotide RNA transcript. It is a transcript of the gene named PBX/knotted 1 homeobox 1, with no coding region annotated. The record is from RefSeq and is a predicted model, not a curated record. The transcript is spliced from 14 exons. Lineage: Eukaryota; Metazoa; Chordata; Aves; Passeriformes; Viduidae.
CGGGUCCCGAUUGCUGCAGCCGCUUGUCAGUGUGACGAAGAUUGGCACCCGAGGUUUCUGUCUUCCACCUUGUACAUAAGUGGGAUCUCUGUGCUGGAACAAGAUCAUGUCUUCAACUCAUUGAAGGAAAGAGAAUAUUUGUUCAUGCUUAUGAUGAUUUGACACACUUAAUGUCUUAAUAACCAUGAUGGCAACACAGACAUUAAGUAUAGACAACUAUCAAGAUGGACAACAGAUGCAAGUGGUAACAGAGUUAAAAACUGAACAAGAUCCCAGCUGCUCUGAAACUGAUGCCGAAGGGGUGAGUCCUGCCCCCGUAGAAUCUCAGACUCCAAUGGAUGCAGACAAGCAGGCCAUUUACAGGCACCCUCUAUUUCCCUUGUUAGCACUAUUAUUUGAAAAAUGUGAAGAAUCUACACAAGGCUCAGAAGGCACAACUUCUGCCAGUUUUGAUGUAGAUAUUGAAAACUUCGUAAGGAAGCAGGAGAAAGAAGGAAAACCUUUUUUCUGUGAAGAUCCAGAAACUGAUAAUUUGAUGGUAAAAGCAAUCCAAGUUCUGCGUAUCCAUCUGCUGGAGCUAGAAAAGGUUAAUGAACUCUGCAAGGAUUUCUGUAGUCGUUACAUUGCCUGCCUGAAGACAAAAAUGAACAGUGAAACUCUAUUAAGUGGAGAGCCUGGAAGUCCUUAUUCACCUGUGCAAUCUCAGCAAAUUCCAAGUGCCAUUGCAGGCACACUCAGUCCCCAAGGGAUCGUGGUGCCAGCAUCAGCAUUGCAGCAGGGAAAUGUAACUAUGGCAACAGUAGCAGGGGGGACAGUGUAUCAGCCAGUCACUGUGGUCACUCCACAAGGACAAGUGGUGACACAGGCACUGUCACCUGGGACUAUUCGGAUCCAGAACUCUCAGCUCCAGUUGCAAUUAAACCAAGAUCUAGGCAUCUUGCAUCAAGAUGAUGGCUCAUCAAAAAAUAAGAGAGGAGUUCUUCCCAAGCACGCUACAAAUGUGAUGAGAUCUUGGCUUUUUCAGCACAUAGGGCAUCCAUAUCCAACAGAGGAUGAGAAGAAGCAGAUUGCAGCACAAACAAAUCUGACACUACUCCAGGUUAACAAUUGGUUUAUCAAUGCUAGAAGGCGAAUUCUUCAGCCAAUGCUGGAUUCCAGUUGUUCUGAAACUCCAAAAACAAAGAAGAAAACAGCCCAGAACCGACCGGUCCAGAGGUUCUGGCCUGACUCCCUUGCCUCAGGAGUUGCUCAGCAGCAAUCGAACGAGCUCACGAUGUCAGAUGGUGCUGUUGUGACCAUCACAGCUCCAGUGAACAUGAAUGUAGACAGUCUGCAGUCCUUGUCCUCAGAUGGUGCCACCCUGGCCGUGCAGCAGAACACUCAGGCACUUGCUGAGGUCCCCUUGAUUUCAGGAGGAUGAAGGAAUGUGCUCCUGGACAUGCUGAAGUGGCUGGAAGCUGGUCAUGGCAGAUUGUCUUCCAAGGCAAGAUUGUUGGUUUCAGCAAAGCAUCACCAUUGAGAAAAGGUACAUGUUUACAUUAGUUAAAAAGUCUUUACAGGGGACCUGACUUCAAGUCUGUGUAUAAUUCCCCCUGCCCCCAAUUAAAGUCAUAUUCAUAUGCAAUAGAACUAAAUUGGUUUUUGAAUCAAUGUGAUUCUUCUGCAAAUACGAUUAUUGAAACGUUUUUUUUUUUUCCACUCUAACCAAAAACAGGGUUCUCAGUCCAAUUUUUUCAAUAUUCCUGGAACAGGCAAGGCAAUUUUCUGUUAUGUUUUUUUAACUUUGGAAGCAUUGCAGUUCAGUAAAUCAAUUCCAAAACGAUCAGGAUAAGUUUCUGAAUGACUGUUACAAAGAAAUAAUCACAUCAGAAAAUACUCAGAAUCAACCCUGGCUCUGCAGAAGUUUUUCUCCAUCUGGAUUUUGUGUCACAGUGGAGUCCUGCUGACCUCAGGGAAGCUCCAGAGAUCCAUGUCAGGCUGCAUUUACCUUUUCCUCGUUCCUGAUCUCUGUCAGGAAUCUCUUGGAGAGCCCUCCAGCUCUACCUUGCCUGCACACCUGGGUCUUUUUCCAGUGGAAACCUGGGAAUGCAUGAAGGGCUUGGCAGGGCAGGAUUUCAUGGCAACCUGGGGUGCAACGAAUUUUUUUUUUUUUUGGUGUUCAAAAUGCACAGUGAGGAAUUGCAAUUCCCACAGUGAGGAAUUGCAGUUCCCAGUUCCUGUGCUUCCAAAGUAGCUUUAGGUUUAUGGAUAUUGGAGUGCAACAGGAGCACACGUGGCUCAAGCCCCAGCUCCUGGCCUGAGGUUGGCUCAGCUGGUCAGAGAGAGGUGCCAGUGACACCCAGGGCACAGCUCUGAUCCCCUGUGGGCCAUUCCCUGGGGAGCUGGACUCGUUGUGGGUCCCUUCCACCUCAAAGUAUUCUGUGAAAGAAUACAUGGAUUUGUUUCUGGAAGAAUCACAAGUCCAGCUUCCUGACUUUAGGAACUUGGCAGCCCAUGGGAUAAAACAAAGCCUUUCCAAGGGAUGAUAGUUGCACUUAAACAAACAAAAAUCCAGAGCGCCCUGGUGUUUUGAAAAAUUGGAACACAUGCAUUUAAUUGUAAUUAAAGUUGAUUUAACAUUUUCUGAAGUUGAGUUGUCUUGGGAGAAAAAAAAUGAGUAAGUAUUUGUCUAUGCAAGACACAAAUGUCAAAAAUGUGUGAAUUACCCAUCUUUAGGUACUGUAUUGUUAUUGUCUGACUUCUGUUCCUUUGAUAAGUCUCUUCAACCUUUCAGCCUUACAUUUGGCUUAGAGUUGAAAAGAUAAAAUGUAGCUUUGAAAUCCUGUUGGAAAUGUAACUAACCUUCGUUCCCUCAUGAAAAUCUCGCAUGUCAAACAAUUAAGUGAAAUGUUUUGGUUUCCUAAUAAUAAAUUCAAACUCUCACCACCUCCUGCAAACAGCAUAUCCAUGAACGUGCACGUUUAACUGUGGUGUGCAAACCACCCAGCCAUCAGCUGGAUGCACUUCGCUCCUCGCUCUGGGGCAGAGCUGAGGACAAGAGCAGGUUCAUUUUGCCAAACUCAAACUCAGCGUGGAUUCCUUCACCCCCUCCCCUGCCCUUGGCUAACUCCUUUAGGUUGUUUAAUUUUCAAGUCCUACAGUAACCUGAUGGCCCAGUGCAAAAUGCAGUGAAAUUGGCACCGAUGUGCUUUUCAGUCAUUGCCCAAAUCAGGUAAUUUGUUCAUUCCUGUCACCUGGAAAUACAACAUCCGUUCCUUUCCUGUGACUUAGUUCUUUAGGACCUGCUGAGUGAUCACAGUUGGUUUUGCCAGAGAAAAGCAAGGUGUGAGAAGGCAGGGAAAUGCCUUCCCAACAUUGUAGACACCCAUAAAGCCUCAUAGUUGGUGUUAAUAAAACCCAAUGUUUCAGGUCUUGACAGAAGCUGCCCAUAACCUGCCCAAGGAUUAGCAGCACUGGGUCUGUACAAUCGACAAUCUUUAAAAUGUGAACCCUGUAACUUUUCUUUCCUUGGUUGUUAAGGGAUUUUGAAGCAAUUGCUCUAUCAAGGGAUGAAAUUAAAAAUGAGAAUAUGCUUCAUGGA